UACGUAGGGUGCAAGCGUUAAUCGGAAUUACUGGGCGUAAAGCGUGCGCAGGCGGUUCUAUAAGACAGAUGUGAAAUCCCCGGGCUCAACCUGGGAACUGCAUUUGUGACUGUAGAGCUGGAGUGCGGCAGAGGGGGAUGGAAUUCCGCGUGUAGCAGUGAAAUGCGUAGAUAUGCGGAGGAACACCGAUGGCGAAGGCAAUCCCCUGGACCUGUACUGACGCUCAUGCACGAAAGCGUGGGGAGCAAACAGG
This 253-nucleotide ribosomal RNA is filed under the name uncultured bacterium. RNAcentral describes it as "partial 16S ribosomal RNA". It matches the Rfam family "Bacterial small subunit ribosomal RNA", at positions 524 to 776 of the family's 1533-position model. The record is from RNAcentral.